GAUGAACGCUGGCGGCGUGCUUAACACAUGCAAGUCGAACGGAGAAACGGUAGCUUGCUAUCUUUUUUUAGUGGCGGACGGGUGAGUAACGCGUGGGUAACCUGCCCUUUGCAGGGGGAUAACAGUGAGAAAUCGCUGCUAAUACCGCAUACCAACUUCUUUCGCAUGAAAGAAGUUUGAAAGAUUUAUCGGCAAAGGAUGGACCCGCGUUGGAUUAGCUAGUUGGUGAGAUAACAGCCCACCAAGGCAACGAUCCAUAGCCGGCCUGAGAGGGUGAACGGCCACACUGGGACUGAGACACGGCCCAGACUCCUACGGGAGGCAGCAGUGGGGGAAUAUUGCACAAUGGGCGAAAGCCUGAUGCAGCGACGCCGCGUGAAGGAUGAAGGUCUUCGGAUUGUAAACUUCUAUCAGCAGGGAAGAAAGGGCUUAUAGCCUAUGACGGUACCUGACUAAGAAGACCCCGGCUAACUACGUGCCAGCAGCCGCGGUAAUCAUA
This 499-nucleotide ribosomal RNA is filed under the name uncultured bacterium. RNAcentral describes it as "bacterial SSU rRNA". It matches the Rfam family "Bacterial small subunit ribosomal RNA", at positions 28 to 529 of the family's 1533-position model. The record is from RNAcentral.